This 329-nucleotide ribosomal RNA is filed under the name uncultured bacterium. RNAcentral describes it as "partial 16S ribosomal RNA". It matches the Rfam family "Bacterial small subunit ribosomal RNA", at positions 100 to 426 of the family's 1533-position model. The record is from RNAcentral.
AAAAAAAAAAACACGUGGAUAACCUACCUAUAAGACUGGGAUAACUUCGGGAAACCGGAGCUAAUACCGGAUAAUAUAUUGAACCGCAUGGUUCAAUAGUGAAAGACGGUUUUGCUGUCACUUAUAGAUGGAUCCGCGCCUCAUUAGCUAGUUGGUAAGGUAACGGCUUACCAAGGCAACGAUGCGUAGCCGACCUGAGAGGGUGAUCGGCCACACUGGAACUGAGACACGGUCCAGCAGCCUACGGGAGGCAGCAGUAGGGAAUCUUCCGCAAUGGGCGAAAGCCUGACGGAGCAACGCCGCGUGAGUGAUGAAGGUCUUUUUUUUUU